UACGUAGGGGGCAAGCGUUGUCCGGAUUUAUUGGGCGUAAAGAGCGUGUAGGCGGCCAGGUAGGUCUGGUGUGAAAACUCGAGGCUUAACCUCGAGAUGUCAUCGGAAACCAUCUGGCUAGAGUCCGGAAGAGGAGAGUGGAAUUCCUGGUGUAGCGGUGAAAUGCGCAGAUAUCAGGAAGAACACCAAUGGCGAAGGCAGCUCUCUGGGACGGUACUGACGCUGAGACGCGAAAGCGUGGGGAGCGAACAGG
This 253-nucleotide ribosomal RNA is filed under the name uncultured bacterium. Its description in RNAcentral is "partial 16S ribosomal RNA". It matches the Rfam family "Bacterial small subunit ribosomal RNA", at positions 524 to 776 of the family's 1533-position model. The record is from RNAcentral.